This 893-nucleotide long non-coding RNA is filed under the name Malus domestica (apple). Its description in RNAcentral is "long non-coding RNA (MDOM_LNC018456)". The record is from RNAcentral. Lineage: Eukaryota; Viridiplantae; Streptophyta; Magnoliopsida; Rosales; Rosaceae.
ACAACAUAUGGUUUUAACAACAAGACAAUCCAAAUUCAACAUCUCAUGUAACGAUAUUGCUCUAUGUAGUUUUGAUAGAGAAUUAUAUCAACCACCUAGAAGGAAUGGUUGAGUAUCUAUAUCCUUAGUAGGAGCCAUGCUUCCACUAAGGAAUUGGAUAAUUCUUAUAUGACUACAUUAAAAGUCUUAGUAUGACUAAAACUUGAAGUAUGGUGUAUGACAUCGUAUAAUUAAAUGAAUAGACUUGAUAAAACAAGUCACAUAUUCAAAAAGGAAUUACUUUAGAAGGAAUUCUUUUGUAUGUGAUUCGUUUAAAUAACUUGUGUUAGCUAGAGUUGUUGAUGGUCUCAAAAUUGUUGAGACAUCAUCAAUAAACUAAUGGAUCUCAAUGGAUCCAAGACAAGUUAGUGGGAGCAAUAUGCAUUCAAAUCAAGAAAAUUUAAUUGUUAAUUUUGAAUGAAUGCUAAGUUGCAACAAGGCCAGAGGGAGUGAUGUCAUAAUUUGAGCAACAAGAUGUGAAUAAAGUCUAUUUGAUAGACUUGAUGAAACAUAGAUGUUACUCGAAAAUGACAAAACAUGACACGGUCAAUUUUGAAGUAUAGACUUGAAAUUAGACUUACUGAUAUAGCAAGGCUAUCUCAAUAAUGUUAUAUGGGAAUUAAAUCUCAAAUGUUGAAGAUUUAAGAAAGCAUUUUCCUAUGUGAUAGGAAAUCACUUUCAUAACCCUUAUAAUGAAUGUGUCAUAAAAUCACAAAAGGGACACAUGUGUUGACUUGUGAAGUAGAUAUCCAAAGGUGAAGAAACCACUAAGUUUAUCACGUUAAGAUAUUACUAUAUCCCAGGAUCAGAACCAAAGCAACUGAUAGAGUAUUAUUGCCUUUAAGAAAGAAACA